CCUACGGGCGGCAGCAGUGAGGAAUAUUGGUCAAUGGGCGCGAGCCUGAACCAGCCAAGUAGCGUGAAGGAUGAAUGCCCUACGGGUUGUAAACUUCUUUUAUAAAGGAAUAAAGUGAAGCACGUGUGCCUUUUUGUAUGUACUUUAUGGAUAAGGAUCGGCUCACUCCGCGCCCGCAGACGCGGUAAUACGGAGGAUCCGAGCGUUAUACGGAUUUAUUGGGUUUAAAGGGAGCGUAGAUGGGUUGUUAAGUCAGUUGUGAAAGUUUGCGGCUCAACCGGAAAAUUGCAAUUGAUACUGGCAGUCUUGAGUACAGUUGAGGUAGGCGGAAUUCGUGGUGUAGCGGUGAAAUGCUUAGAGAUCACGAAGAACUCCGAUUGCGAAGGCAGCUUACUAAACUGCCACUGACAUUGAUGCUCGAAAGUGUGGGUAGCAAACAGGAUUAGAUACCCUUGUAGUC
This 460-nucleotide ribosomal RNA is filed under the name uncultured bacterium. Its description in RNAcentral is "partial 16S ribosomal RNA". It matches the Rfam family "Bacterial small subunit ribosomal RNA", at positions 338 to 795 of the family's 1533-position model. The record is from RNAcentral.